CAUGAGUGAAUCAACGGAUUAACCCUUAUUGUACGUAUUCCGGCAUACAAUGGUUAUCAACGGAGUUCGUAUAUUUAUCAAUAUCAAAUAUAUUUCACGCUUCUACCUGCAUCAGUUGGUAUCAGAGCCUUGCUACGCUCCUACGCGAUGUCUCCCCGUCAAUCAACCGUUCAGAAUGUUCAAGAUUGUCUCCAUCGUG
Molecule: long non-coding RNA, 199 nt
Filed under: Salvia miltiorrhiza (redroot sage)
Lineage: Eukaryota; Viridiplantae; Streptophyta; Magnoliopsida; Lamiales; Lamiaceae
Description: long non-coding RNA (SMIL_LNC012375)
Source: RNAcentral